UAGCGGACAGUGGAAAGGGCAGGAGCCGGACCAAGUGUUCAUCCAUCGCCCUGUAUUAGCGAAGAACAACAUCAAGCUGGCUAGCAAGGAACUGUAUACAGGGUCCAGCUGGGUAUCACACUGGAUCUCACCCAAAGCUUAGAUGUGAUCCAGCUCAGUAUCACAAAGCAGAACGAAAAGGAUGUGUUUGGGCUGAGAGGCCAUACAUUGGCUCCGGCAUGACGGGUGACUUCUUCCGAGUCUGGCUUCUGCAGCACACAGGGCUUCGCCAGCACCCAGCUCCUGCAGCAUGGGCAGCUCCUGUGACAGCAGGCGCCCGCAGCCUGCAAAGCGUCUCCAGUGCCGCCGCCUCAGUGAACCUCAACCAGCGGCACCUAGCAGCUUUCUCUGCCACCCUCUUCAGGUCUGGAUCUAAGCCCAGGGACCAGGAAACCUCUUGCUUGAGUGCUGGAACUCAGGCCAGAAGGACAUCCCUGUAGAAGUUCUGCUGCGUGUGGUCCAGCCGUCCCCACUCCUCCCGGGAGAGGUAC
This is a long non-coding RNA of Homo sapiens (human), 530 nucleotides long. Ensembl annotates it as ZNF213 antisense RNA 1 (head to head). Its record names the gene ZNF213-AS1. Lineage: Eukaryota; Metazoa; Chordata; Mammalia; Primates; Hominidae. The record is from Ensembl.